RNAcentral lists this long non-coding RNA (2603 nucleotides) under Nicotiana benthamiana. Its description in RNAcentral is "long non-coding RNA (NBEN_LNC038486)". The record is from RNAcentral. Lineage: Eukaryota; Viridiplantae; Streptophyta; Magnoliopsida; Solanales; Solanaceae.
CACCUCAUCUAAUUAAUGGCCUUAAUUUGCUAGAUCUAAAUGACAUUAAAAAUUUUACAUCAAACUAACUAACCGUUCACAUGAAAAGGGAUUAAUUAUUUCAAGCAAAGCAACGCAAAAUGGAUCAAGGGCCCAACUGAUAAAGCACUGUUCGAUCAUCCAUUUCUGUAGGGUCAAUACGUAAAAGUGUUGGGCUCCAGGUGAAGCCCAGUCCAGCGACCAAGUUGUUGAAAAAGAAAAUCAACACUAUUGGGCCAAAGUUUUGUAGCCCAAUGCACUGGCUAGGGGAACUGGCGAUUUUAGGUGUCUUGGGCAAAAUCUCAAUAGUAAACUCAAUUGAAGAAUAUUGUAGCUAAAAGAUAAGGGCCCAGGAUCGAGCCCUUGAAUGACCCAAUUUUAGCAGGGCAAAUAUGCUGAUCCAUGAGAUUCAAAUACAAAAAUUAAAACUUAAUUUUGACACCUAAUUAUAUGCAAAACAAAAACCCGAAUUCUUUUUUAUUACUAAACAGGGAAGUAAAACUUCACACAUCCUGGAAAAUAACCAUCAACAGCUACAACUAACAACUACUAAACUAUUUCAAGCAUUGCUAGCAUUAAAUGGACAACCAUUUCAAACCAUGUUUAAAUUCAAACGUAUUCAUCUGAUAAUCAUUGAAACUUUAGCCAAAUACAAUACUCAAACUUAAGUGAUUGACUAGGCAUCAUAUAUGAUUUGAAUAAACAAUCAAGGCCAAAACCUUAAUGAUCUACAGCAAGGACCAAUCCUAAACUUUUUUCCCAGGACACUAAAGCAAAUUAUUACAGCUCGACUACCGAAAUUCAUAGUUUAACCAUCUUCACAAUCCCAAAUAAACUUCUAUUUUCAGGCUUAAGUUCUUAACACCUUGAACACCCAUAAGUUCAUUCCCACAUCCACACUACAAUAGACUUAAAUUCAUUAAGUAAUAUCAUUUAAAAACUUUCAACAGCCCCUGGAGCAAUUAUGCUCAAACAAUCUUAGUUAACUACUACAAAUCAUAGCCUAUAGUUAAUACCAGUUCUAAAUACUACUUGCAGGUCACUUCCAUACACACAACUUCAGAGGAAAAAAAACCUUAUUAACAUCUAUAUUUAGGGUCCAAUUAUUGAGCAUGGAAGCAGUAAAGAAACAGGGAAAUCAACAUCAAAUGCAAUCUUCGUUUCAUUGAGCUUUCACUCAUAUUACAUGUUCAACAAUCAUUCCUCAAUCAUAGCUAAUAAAGUACCUGGAAAUGUGAAAUAAAGUAGAGGUGAACAAUCAGCAAAUACAAUAAGAAUCAACAGCAGAAAUACACUACAGAACCAGUUUUGGGAACCACAAAAUCAGUUCCAAAUCAAAUGGAACACUAACUUCAACAGAGCUUGACCCAAAAACUUUUCGAAAGUAACAUCAAAUCAUUUCGAAUCUCAUUAAUGAAGCAGUAUUGUUUUCUGAAAUUGAAAGAAACAGAAAAUCCUGAAGAAAAACUUAAUGCAACAGUAUUCCUGGCCGUCUGUGAUUUUCUCAGAAAUUUUCAACUUUCCUUCUUUUAUCUUGAGUUAUUUUGAUUUUAUAGGCUGAACACUAGGGCAACCUACAAAUUCUAUUUUACCCCUUUAGUCCCUGAUUUUAUGACUUGUUAGCCAAGUCAUAGUAUCAAAAUUUAAAAACCAGCCCCUACUAGAAGAUUCCAGGAGCUUCUUAAACGUUUAGAAAAAGAUUCCUCUAUCUAAUUACCCCAAAAUACCCUGCAAGACCCUUUUUAUUACCCUACCCGGGUCAACUGGCCUAGCUAAAAUGUGUCAUAGACCCACAAUUAAAUCCCUAUUCGGGCUAGUUGCUAUUUACACAUCCAUUAAACUAGUAAAAUGCCCUAUAAUAGAAUUUCACCUCAUAAUUUCCAUAUAAAUAAAUCCAAAAUUAAUUUUCAAAAGUAACCAAAACAAGAACAAAAUUCACUGAACUAGGCAUCAUUGUAAUUCAAUCGAAUCAGAGGCCUAAAUUUAUUAACUACUGAUAAAACGUGAUACUGAAAAUGAGACGAUAAUCAUGCCAUGACCACAAUGGAAUUGAAUGACAUACUAGAGAAGAACAAACGACAAUUACCAAAUUGUACAAAUCUUGACUCGAAAUUCUGACUGAAUUGCCUAGAAAAAGAAGUAAACGAGAAGAACAAAAGCCAAAAUAUCAAGAUGCAUCGAACACAAGAAGAACUUACCCUCAACACUUGAAUUUUUUGACUUUGAUGCCAAAUAAUAUUAACCGCUUGUUCUUUGUCAAGAACAAGUGGAUAACACUAUUUCAUGACAAAAUCAACUCUAAAACUUUAAGAAAGCCGGAGAAAUCACCUUGUAUGCUCUGAAUUUGACUUGGUUCUUAGAGAUUCUGAUUUUUAGAUUCGAUAUUCAAGAGAUUUAAGUAGGAUUUGAGGGAAGUGGUUCAUGGAUUCAAUAUGAGGGUGCCCUAGUGAUUCCGUGGAAUAAUUUUGGUGGAGUUUGGGGAGCUGAAUCGCCUGUAUCCAUGCUGAAUUAAGGUUUUUCGGAUAGUGAGAGGGUUAAGACGAUAGAGGAGAUGAGGCCGAACUGAUUGGUUUAGGACAUUUUAA